AUAAUCCCUGCGGGGGAAAGAUUUAUCGCUAUUAGAUGAGCCUAUGUUAGAUUAGCUAGUUGGUAGGGUAAAGGCCUACCAAGGCGAUGAUCUAUAGCUGGUCUGAGAGGAUGAUCAGCCACACUGGAACUGAGAUACGGUCCAGACUCCUACGGGAGGCAGCAGUGGGGAAUAUUGGACAAUGGGCGCAAGCCUGAUCCAGCUAUGCCGCGUGAGUGAGGAAGGCCUUAGGGUUGUAAAACUCUUUCAGUAGGGAAGAUAAUGACGGUACCUACAGAAGAAGGCCCGGCAAACUCCGUGCCAGCAGCCGCGGUAAUACGGAGGGGGCAAGCGUUGUUCGGAAUUAUUGGGCGUAAAGGGCAUGUAGGCGGUUCGGUAAGUUAAAGGUGAAAUGCCUGGGCUUAACCCUGGAGCUGCUUUUAAUACUGCCA
This 431-nucleotide ribosomal RNA is filed under the name Anaplasma phagocytophilum. RNAcentral describes it as "bacterial SSU rRNA". It matches the Rfam family "Bacterial small subunit ribosomal RNA", at positions 173 to 638 of the family's 1533-position model. The record is from RNAcentral. Lineage: Bacteria; Pseudomonadati; Pseudomonadota; Alphaproteobacteria; Rickettsiales; Anaplasmataceae.